This 603-nucleotide ribosomal RNA is filed under the name Pseudozyma sp. PDD-40_7j_hv_b-4. RNAcentral describes it as "eukaryotic LSU rRNA". It matches the Rfam family "Eukaryotic large subunit ribosomal RNA", at positions 77 to 663 of the family's 3401-position model. Lineage: Eukaryota; Fungi; Basidiomycota; Ustilaginomycetes; Ustilaginales; Ustilaginaceae. The record is from RNAcentral.
UCCCUAGUACGGCGAGUGAGAGGGAAGAGCCCAAGAUUGAAAGCUGGCGCCUUCGGCGUCCGCAUUGUAAUCUCAAGAAGUGUUUUCCGCUUCGGACCAUGCCUAAGUCCCUUGGAAAAGGGCAUCAUAGAGGGUGAUAAUCCCGUACAUGGCAUGGAGCGCCCGAAGCUUUGUGAUACGCUUUCUAAGAGUCGAGUUGUUUGGGAAUGCAGCUCAAAAUGGGUGGUAAAUGCCAUCUAAGGCUAAAUAUUGGGGAGAGACCGAUAGCGAACAAGUACAGUGAUGGAAAGAUGAAAAGAACUUUGAAAAGAGAGUUAAACAGUACGUGAAAUUGCCAAAAGGGAAGGGUAGGAGGUCAGAGAUGCGUUCUAGGAUUCAGCCUUGCUUUUGCAUGGUGUUUUUUCUAGUUUGCAGGCCAACGUCGGUUUUGGGCACUGGAGAAGGGUGGAAGGAAUGUGGCACCUCUCGGGGUGUGUUAUAGCCUUCUACUGGAUACAGCGACCGAGACCGAGGACAGCAGCGUACUCGCAAGAGCGGGCCUUCGGGCACCUUUACGCUUAGGGCGUUGGCAUAAUGGCCCUCUACCACCCGUCUUGAACCCCC